Molecule: long non-coding RNA, 768 nt
Organism: Oncorhynchus tshawytscha (Chinook salmon)
Lineage: Eukaryota; Metazoa; Chordata; Actinopteri; Salmoniformes; Salmonidae
Source: Ensembl
GAGAGAGAGUUGGAGCGGUGAGAGCAGAGAGAGAGAGAGGUGGAGCGGUGAGAGCAGAGAGAGAGAGAGAGGUGGAGCGGUGAGAGCAGAGAGAGAGAGAGGUGGAGCGGUGAGAGCAGAGAGAGAGAGGUGGAGCGGUGAGAGCAGAGAGAGAGAGGUGGAGCGGUGAGAGCAGAGAGAGAGAGAGGAGGAGCGGUGAGAGCAGAGAGAGAGAGGAGGAGCGGUGAGAGCAGAGAGAGAGAGAGUGGGAGCGGUGAGAGCAGAGAGAGAGAGAGAGUUGGAGCGGUGAGAGCAGAGAGAGAGAGAGGUGGAGCGGUGAGAGAAGAGAGAGAGAGAGGUGGAGCGGUGAGAGCAGAGAGAGAGAGAGUUGGAGCGGUGAGAGCAGAGAGAGAGAGAGUUGGAGCGGUGAGAGCAGAGAGAGAGAGUUGGAGCGGUGAGAGCAGAGAGAGAGAGAGUGGAGCGGUGAGAGCAGAGAGAGAGAGGAGGAGCGGUGAGAGCAGAGAGAGAGAGAGGUGGAGCGGUGAGAGCAGAGAGAGAGACACUGGACACUGAAUCAGCUCACAUUAAGGCACUGCAGGAAAAAAAUAAAUGGGGUGUUAUUCAGUUUCACAGUGAACAGAGGAGCCGGCAGAAAAAAAGAAAACGCUUCCCCGAUGAGACUGAAGAUGACAUAGCAAACGAACAGAAGUCAGACACUGGAUUUUGCUAAACACAGUGUUUUAUGUGGCUCUGGAUAGUAUAAUCAGUCAUUUGCACAUGCGGUUCCAC